Molecule: ribosomal RNA, 451 nt
Filed under: uncultured bacterium
Lineage: Bacteria
Description: partial 16S ribosomal RNA
Rfam family: Bacterial small subunit ribosomal RNA
Source: RNAcentral
GUGGGGAAUAUUGGACAAUGGGGGGAACCCUGAUCCAGCCAUGCCGCGUGUGUGAAGAAGGCCUUUUGGUUGUAAAGCACUUUAAGCGAGGAGGAGGCUACCGAGAUUAAUACUCUUGGAUAGUGGACGUUACUCGCAGAAUAAGCACCGGCUAACUCUGUGCCAGCAGCCGCGGUAAUACAGAGGGUGCAAGCGUUAAUCGGAUUUACUGGGCGUAAAGCGCGCGUAGGUGGCCAAUUAAGUCAAAUGUGAAAUCGCCGAGCUUAACUUGGGAAUUGCAUGCGAUACUGGUUGGCUAGAGUAUGGGAGAGGAUGGUAGAAUUCCAGGUGUAGCGGUGAAAUGCGUAGUGAUCUGGAGGAAUACCGAUGGCGAAGGCAGCCAUCUGGCCUAAUACUGACCCUGAGGUGCGAAAGCAUGGGGAGCAAACAGGAUUAGAAACCCUAGUAGUCC